Molecule: long non-coding RNA, 1212 nt
Organism: Stomoxys calcitrans (stable fly)
Lineage: Eukaryota; Metazoa; Arthropoda; Insecta; Diptera; Muscidae
Exons: 3
Source: RefSeq, a predicted model, not a curated record
UUUGUCGUGGACCCCGGAGGGUCCGAACUGUCUCAGCGGAGAAAGGGGACAUAGUGUGCUGGCGGGCGCUGGCUGUUGGCGUUAGAGCUCCGGCUGUGGCUCAGUCUGGGGCGCGGUUCUUGCCAACACACCAUGUCCAGAGACAGCUGACAAAAAAACUAAAUUGAAACCAGCUCUGGAUGGGAUAACAACACAGGGUCAUACUUACUUUACGGCAGGCACGUUAUUCGCCUUCUUACUCGCACUUACCGCUAUGGAUUCGCUCUUCAGGGGGCACUGAGACAUCCUACAGUGCCCUGGACGGCCCACCCCAACCAUGGUAUCCGUUGUCCAACAGUUUUGGAUACCCCAGAAUCGUCUCCCCGUUCCCCCUCUACAGCAUGGUGCACUACCCCUUCCUUACCUUAAUGAUCUACUCUUCCAUAGCGAAAUGAGAAUACUAAGCCAAGUGGAAUUUCAUUUCUACGUUAUAAAAGAAAAGUGCCUUUGUUGCGUCUGUCAGAUCGCCGGACUGGAAUGCUUCGACGACGGCUCCCCUGGAUAGCAAGACAAUUUGGUAGCGGAGGUGCCCUGGAUCUCCCUUUUUAUGUUCUUGCCAACCUGCAGGGACAACAUUAAACGACCAAAGGGUCUUUUAUUUAAAGUGUAUUCCUAGUGCCCUAGAAUGAGCUCACCCUACUUCCUAGGUUGUAUCGUCCGUUCAAUCACCGGACUGCAGAUAUGAAACCCAAUGUCUACCCUGUUUGCUGCCUAAGUUAUUCUGUUUUCUUUUUUUUUUAUUUCUUAUAUUUUUAUUCCAGGAUGUGUGUCAAGCUAAGUUUCUCUGUGUAUCGUUCUAAGUAUUGAACAUAUAAAAAGGAGCAUACAUCGGCCUACCUUGGCACCUACGGGCUGCUGGUGCAAAAUUCCCUCGGGGACACUGGAGCAGAUGGCGGCGGUGGAACCAAUGAUGAAGCUGGAGAUGCUGAUGAGAUGAUGAUGUUGUUGAGGAUGGAAAUGUUGACGUUGCCGUGGAUGACGAUGGUUAAAAUUGCAGUAGAGGUGGGUAUUUAUUAUUUGACAAAAAGUUUUUGUUGUUCUGUUUAGUCUUUGCUAUGUUUUAUUCGUGGCUCAAAUUAACGUUCUUUUUCAAAGCUUUUUAUAUUUCACAGGAUCUUUUUUCCUUAGCAUUAAUUAGCACUAAUAAGUUUAUUUAGCUUUAAGUUGAUCUAA